UCCCCUCCUUUCUAAGGAUGGUUCUUCAGAGAGCUCACGCUCACUAUCGAACCGUUUUAGAAACAUUCAGGGGCCAAUCGAUCGCAUGAUCAUUGAGCUCCAUUGGCGGGAUUUCGCCGUCUUCGUUUCUCUUUCUUCGCGGACGAACACGCGCCAGGGGCUGAGCGCUUGAGCGAUGCAUUGGCGCGAGCCGAUUGCGCGCCAGCCGGCUCCGGCAUCUCGCAAGAGAUGAGCGUUAGGGGCUUGUAGCUCAGUUGGUUAGAGCGCGCGCUUGAUAAGCGUGAGGUCGGAAGUUCAAGUCUUCCCAGGCCCACCACUUUGAUCGAGUGCGGAGCAUUCGUCUUCUGGUUACGGGGCCAUAGCUCAGCUGGGAGAGCGCGUGCUUUGCAAGCAUGAGGUCGUCGGUUCGAUCCCGUCUGGCUCCACCAGCCUUCGCUGGCUGAAGCCAGCUACGGCUAGGCGAGCCCGACUCAAGCGAAGGCUGCCACGGCGAAGCUCGAAGAGCGAAGCCGGGCUGGCGCCGAUCGACCAAAUCGUCCGCGAAACAUCACUUCGCACUCACGAGUCCGGAUGGACAGUGACGUGCGUGUUUUCUGACAUCGUAAAGAGGAGAUCGAUCCGAGCUUGGAUCAAGCGAAGCAAUUCGCCUGACCAUUCACUAUCUCCGGGAUCAUUUCGGCGCUCGCUUCAGUCGUGAGAUUGAACGCGGGUUGUAAAUGAUCCUUUGUUAGCGAAGCUUGACCGCCUCGCUAUCGGGCCGAUCUUACGAAGCAAGCUGGUCUUUCUAAUCAAUGUCCGGCCGUGACAAUCGCAUUCAUCGAGGAUGCUCGCCUUCAGUGGCAGUUGCGCGGACAACAUUCUGCCGAGUGUGUGGACAUUGAUAAUGAGAGCAAUCAAGUGCCUUAAGGGUGUUCGGUGGAUGCCUUGGCGCUGAGAGGCGAUGAAGGACGUGCUACGCUGCGAUAAGCCGUGGGGAGCUGCGAAGAAGCUUUGAUCCGCGGAUUU
Molecule: unclassified non-coding RNA, 1005 nt
Filed under: Bradyrhizobium sp. CIRADAc4
Lineage: Bacteria; Pseudomonadati; Pseudomonadota; Alphaproteobacteria; Hyphomicrobiales; Nitrobacteraceae
Description: 16S-23S intergenic spacer
Rfam family: Bacterial large subunit ribosomal RNA (bases 892-1005)
Source: RNAcentral